GGAUCCUUGAGUCUGCAGGCCAACACUCUGUCCACUGAGCCAAACUGGCUCGGCUGGGCUCAUAUUGUGUAAAUCAAAACUAAUUCUUAGGUAGUGCACUUUCUUCCACCAUGAAUGAAGCAUAGGAUGUUUGGCUGUCUCUCAUUUAUUGCUGUUAGCAGCUGAUAAUAAUCAAAGCCUAUGUCUAUUAAAUCAUUUGAAGCUGCAGAAUGGUGAUACUCUAAUUUUAUCAGUUAUUUUCUAACUUGCCAGCUGGAAUACUGAAAAAAAAAAAACUUCCUCAAAAUAAUGUUUGCUUACCCAUUGGCAAAGGAGAUCAAAGAGAAAAGAAGAUAAAAGCUUGGUUCUCUUUAAUCAUUCGUUUUUUCUUUUUUAAAUAGUGAGUUGAUGCAAAGCAACCUGCAAUGGUAGAAACAACAGAAUUCAAGGGAAUGUUUCCAAAUAAAAGAUUGCACUUUGCAGGCAUUCCAAGUGAGAAACAAGGCUCUGUCACCCUUAAUAUACUACUUACUUAUUGGCAAACCUUCCAAUUGAAUCAAUCUUCACUGUUGCUACCACCCCUGUCCAUGAAGAUCCCCUCCCUCGGCUUGGACUUGGACAUCACAAAGCCAUCCUGCAUAUGAAUGGACACCCCCUGACCCACCUCGGCGCUGACAUCCUAUACCCGGAAUCCCCUUCUCAGUGCAUGGACUCUUUCUUCUCAGUUGUGCUCCGAAACCUAACCCCAGUCCACUGCAGCCCCAGCCAGAACUGUUCUGACACAGACAUGUGAGUUGUCCUGCUUCACUAUGGCUUCAGGGGGGGAGUGUUUGAGAAGGGAAGGGAAAGUGAGGGUGCUAGCUUUAUUUCCUAUUGCUAUAAGUAGAACUAUGCAUUCCUAGUCUGUUUUUCAAGGUAACCAUGUUUAGUCCACGUGUGUGUGUGUGUGAUAUCUGCAUGGAACAGCUUGGAGACACUGAGGAAUGAUUAUGCUCAGCCAACAAGGUCCAUUUUUCUCCAACAAAACACAGACCAUGGACCCUGCCUCGGUACAGGAGAAGCCGAUUUCAUCUGAGCUUCUGGCAUGUGUCCAACAGAGGAAGGCUUCUUCAGCCCUGGAGCCAUCCCAGAAGACAGGACAGGCUCCUUCUCCGGGAGCGGGUAGCACCCAGGCAAAUCCAGCAUGAGAAUGCAUUUCUGCAAAAUCCCAAAAUGACAACACUGCAUAAUUACAGCAAUGGGAUAUUUGAACUGAUCCUUGAAACAUCAAUGUUUCCAAUAAAGAAAGUGUGAUGUUAAGUGAACCAGCGUUUGAAAGGAGCACUUCAGGUAAAGGGAAGAGCAUGGCUGUAUAGCAUCUCGUAUCGUUCAGGUAACGGCAGGUGUCCACUUCAACUAAACGCGGGCAAACCAUCCCCCCAGCUCUCUGAAAUGGAAGUGUCAGUGCAUAAUAUAUACCAAGAAGCCAUUUUUCAUCAAGGAAUAUCUUUUUGUUUUGUUUUUUAACUUGAUGCUUCACCAUGCACAUUAAUAACACAUGGGAAGAAACACACAUUGAAAUAUGGAAGGCAAAUAAGGAACACUGAUGGAUGAGGAACACAAAUUUAUAUAUUGUUUGACUGAUGGAUUGCAAAUUAUAAAGUAAAUGAAGUAAAAUGUUAUCUAUAACUGAGAUCGAGUCUGAGUACUUGGAGGCACUUUGAAAUGUUUUUAUUUUUGCAUCUAUUCAAUAUAUUUGACAUUAUUUCCAAAGCAAAAGUAAAAUCAACAACAGCAAAACAAAAACAAACACUAAAACAAAAGCCUGGAACACUGUCAGGGCUGCAUGGGGCUGUCCUGUCGUAUGAGAAGAUAAAAUCUAGUAGGAUACGCUGAGCCAGGGUGGGAAUCAGUGUGAACUGU
Long non-coding RNA from Myotis davidii, 1881 nucleotides. RefSeq lists it as uncharacterized. Lineage: Eukaryota; Metazoa; Chordata; Mammalia; Chiroptera; Vespertilionidae. The transcript is spliced from 3 exons. The record is from RefSeq and is a predicted model, not a curated record.